CGGCGAUGUCCGAAUGGGGAAACCCAGUGCAAUUCGUUGCACUAUCGUUAACUGAAUACAUAGGUUAACGAGGCGAACCGGGGGAACUGAAACAUCUAAGUACCCCGAGGAAAAGAAAUCAACCGAGAUUCCCCCAGUAGCGGCGAGCGAACGGGGAGCAGCCCAGAGUCUGAAUCAGCUUGUGUGUUAGUGGAACGGUCUGGAAAGUCCGACGGUACAGGGUGAUAGUCCCGUACACCAAAAUGCACAGGUUGUGAACUCGAAGAGUAGGGCGGGACACGUGGUAUCCUGUCUGAAUAUGGGGGGACCAUCCUCCAAGGCUAAAUACUCCUGACUGACCGAUAGUGAACCAGUACCGUGAGGGAAAGGCGAAAAGAACCCCGGCGAGGGGAGUGAAAAAGAACCUGAAACCGUGUACGUACAAGCAGUGGGAGCACCUUCGGGUGUGACUGCGUACCUUUUGUAUAAUGGGUCAGCGACUUAUAUUCUGUAGCAAGGUUAACCGUAUAGGGGAGCCGCAGGGAAACCGAGUCUUAACUGGGCGUUAAGUUGCAGGGUAUAGACCCGAAACCCGGUGAUCUAGCCAUGGGCAGGUUGAAGGUUGGGUAACACUAACUGGAGGACCGAACCGACUAAUGUUGAAAAAUUAGCGGAUGACUUGUGGCUGGGGGUGAAAGGCCAAUCAAACCGGGAGAUAGCUGGUUCUCCCCGAAAGCUAUUUAGGUAGCGCCUCGUGAACUCAUCUUCGGGGGUAGAGCACUGUUUCGGCUAGGGGGUCAUCCCGACUUACCAACCCGAUGCAAACUACGAAUACCGAAGAAUGUUAUCACGGGAGACACACGGCGGGUGCUAACGUCCGUCGUGAAGAGGGAAACAACCCAGACCGCCAGCUAAGGUCCCAAAGUCAUGGUUAAGUGGGAAACGAUGUGGGAAGGCACAGACAGCCAGGAUGUUGGCUUAGAAGCAGCCAUCAUUUAAAGAAAGCGUAAUAGCUCACUGGUCGAGUCGGCCUGCGCGGAAGAUGUAACGGGGCUAAACCAUGCACCGAAGCUGCGGCAGCGACACUAUGUGUUGUUGGGUAGGGGAGCGUUCUGUAAGCCUGCGAAGGUGGCCUGUGAGGGUUGCUGGAGGUAUCAGAAGUGCGAAUGCUGACAUAAGUAACGAUAAAGCGGGUGAAAAGCCCGCUCGCCGGAAGACCAAGGGUUCCUGUCCAACGUUAAUCGGGGCAGGGUGAGUCGACCCCUAAGGCGAGGCCGAAAGGCGUAGUCGAUGGGAAACAGGUUAAUAUUCCUGUACUUGGUGUUACUGCGAAGGGGGGACGGAGAAGGCUAUGUUAGCCGGGCGACGGUUGUCCCGGUUUAAGCAUGUAGGCGGAGGUUCCAGGUAAAUCCGGUACCUUUUAACGCUGAGGUGUGAUGACGAGGCACUACGGUGCUGAAGUAACAAAUGCCCUGCUUCCAGGAAAAGCCUCUAAGCAUCAGGUAACAUCAAAUCGUACCCCAAACCGACACAGGUGGUCAGGUAGAGAAUACCAAGGCGCUUGAGAGAACUCGGGUGAAGGAACUAGGCAAAAUGGUGCCGUAACUUCGGGAGAAGGCACGCUGGUGUGUAGGUGAAGUCCCUGCGGAUGGAGCUGAGACCAGUCGAAGAUACCAGCUGGCUGCAACUGUUUAUUAAAAACACAGCACUGUGCAAACACGAAAGUGGACGUAUACGGUGUGACGCCUGCCCGGUGCCGGAAGGUUAAUUGAUGGGGUUAUCCGUAAGGAGAAGCUCUUGAUCGAAGCCCCGGUAAACGGCGGCCGUAACUAUAACGGUCCUAAGGUAGCGAAAUUCCUUGUCGGGUAAGUUCCGACCUGCACGAAUGGCGUAAUGAUGGCCAGGCUGUCUCCACCCGAGACUCAGUGAAAUUGAACUCGCUGUGAAGAUGCAGUGUACCCGCGGCAAGACGGAAAGACCCCGUGAACCUUUACUAUAGCUUGACACUGAACAUUGAGCCUUGAUGUGUAGGAUAGGUGGGAGGCUUUGAAGCGUGGACGCCAGUCUGCGUGGAGCCAACCUUGAAAUACCACCCUUUAAUGUUUGAUGUUCUAACGUUGGCCCCUUAUCGGGGUUGCGGACAGUGUCUGGUGGGUAGUUUGACUGGGGCGGUCUCCUCCCAAAGAGUAACGGAGGAGCACGAAGGUUAGCUAAUCCUGGUCGGACAUCAGGAGGUUAGUGCAAUGGCAUAAGCUAGCUUGACUGCGAGCGUGACGGCGCGAGCAGGUGCGAAAGCAGGUCAUAGUGAUCCGGUGGUUCUGAAUGGAAGGGCCAUCGCUCAACGGAUAAAAGGUACUCCGGGGAUAACAGGCUGAUACCGCCCAAGAGUUCAUAUCGACGGCGGUGUUUGGCACCUCGAUGUCGGCUCAUCACAUCCUGGGGCUGAAGUAGGUCCCAAGGGUAUGGCUGUUCGCCAUUUAAAGUGGUACGCGAGCUGGGUUUAGAACGUCGUGAGACAGUUCGGUCCCUAUCUGCCGUGGGCGCUGGAGAAUUGAGGGGGGCUGCUCCUAGUACGAGAGGACCGGAGUGGACGCAUCACUGGUGUUCGGGUUGUCAUGCCAAUGGCACUGCCCGGUAGCUAAAUGCGGAAGAGAUAAGUGCUGAAAGCAUCUAAGCACGAAACUUGCCCCGAGAUGAGUUCUCCCUGAGACUUUAAGUCUCCUGAAGGAACGUUGAAGACGACGACGUUGAUAGGCCGGGUGUGUAAGCGCAGCGAUGCGUUGAGCUAACCGGUACUAAUGAACCGUGAGGCUUAACCUU
This 2799-nucleotide ribosomal RNA is filed under the name Klebsiella variicola. Its description in RNAcentral is "bacterial LSU rRNA". It matches the Rfam family "Bacterial large subunit ribosomal RNA". The record is from RNAcentral. Lineage: Bacteria; Pseudomonadati; Pseudomonadota; Gammaproteobacteria; Enterobacterales; Enterobacteriaceae.